RNAcentral lists this long non-coding RNA (1258 nucleotides) under Ovis aries (sheep). RNAcentral describes it as "lncRNA (ENSOARG00000026135.1)". The record is from RNAcentral. Lineage: Eukaryota; Metazoa; Chordata; Mammalia; Artiodactyla; Bovidae.
GGCCGCUCCUGCUCUGACCGGCUCGACCCACCUCGUCUUGAGGACCCCCUCUCCUCCCAGCCUGGCUCCUUCCCAGGGGCCCCUCCUCCUCAGAGUCCUGCCCUGCCUGUGCCAGGCCCUCUCUGAAGCCCCUUCUCUCGAGAGCCCGAGCCUUUGUUUGCAGGCUCUUCCCUGGUCAGGCCCCCUCUCCUGUCCAGGCCCUCCCCUCCCCUGCUCAGCCCUCACCCCUCUGGCCCCUGGCCUGGCCCUGGUAGGGGCUGAUCAGGAGCCCACAAACAGCUGGCUUUAAAGAUGCUGCUAAAACUGUCUUCCAGGGGGCAGGGUCCCACAGCAACAUCCCGCCCUGCCUGACCACAUGCUCGGUAGGCCCAGGCCCACAGGUGAGAGGGCGAUGGGACUUCUGGGAAGCUGGGCUCAGUUCUCCCCCACCCAUCCACCAGCAACCCCUUUCCAAGGGCCCGGCCUGGGGGUGGCCAGACCCGUCUCAGAUGGCGCCUGACCUAAGGGGCCAGUGAGCCUGUGUGUGGCCUGGGAACCUGGUCUCCCUGCUGGGCUCCCUGGGCCAGGCGCUGCCCAGGGCUGGGCAGGCUGCAAGGCUGACGGGCUGGCCUGCCCGAGUCCAGCUGGUCCUCGGGCGUGGGAGAGGGCACCAGGCCCACAGGGGUCUGCUUCUGGUCCCUGCCACCCUUGCCAGCUUGUCCUCAGGCCUUGGCGGGCCCUUCCUCAGGGCGUCCAGGAUGAACAGGCGGGCGGCAGGGGCCCGAGCUGUGGGGCGGAGCGACCAGGAGGGUAGCUGGGCCCAAGGGAAUCACCCAGGGCAGGAUGUGGGGAGAAAGGGCUGCUUGGGGUUGACAAUGGGGGCGGAGGACGGGUGCGCAACAUCCUGUCUCAGGCUCAGAGAGAGCCUGGCAGAGGCCCCCCACUCCCGCCAGGUGGACGCAGAGGGGGAGGGCAGCCGGCAGGGAGCUGCAGAGGCCCACCAGGCUGGCUGGAGGAAGGGUUCUCCAGCCACCAAGGCUCGGGACAGGCCUCCCGCGGCCUUCCUGGGGCUGGCCCCCGGGCGGGUGGUCCAGCCCACGACCCCCAUGGUCCUGGCCCUGCAUCAAGGAAGGGAGGAGGGUGGAGAAUCUGGAGGGGCUGCCUGUUGGGUGUGGCCGAGAGGUGGGAGCGGCAGGUGGCCCAGGAGGCCCACCGGGACAUCUCUGCCCUAAGACGGGAGAGGGUGGGCUGAGGCUGGAUGGCUGGCCUCCAGCGCCUG